Molecule: long non-coding RNA, 245 nt
Filed under: Homo sapiens (human)
Lineage: Eukaryota; Metazoa; Chordata; Mammalia; Primates; Hominidae
Description: HSALNT0231045
Source: RNAcentral
CAAAUCCACAUGGCUUUGGAGCACAGUGGGCCAAGCAAACCACCUCCAAAGGGCUGAAUUUGUCUUACAGGUGCCAGUUCAUAAGAUGUUCCCAGGAUCAUGUUAGAGACCAGGUGUAGUCAUGUCACACCCUGCACCUGGGUGUGGCUGUGUGUCCAGUUCUCACCAACUGAAGAAUAAUGAACCAACAAGAGCGAAGAACAAGUCAAAGAAAAUGGCAAAGAAGAUAUUUCUUUGGGAAAGUG